This 508-nucleotide ribosomal RNA is filed under the name uncultured bacterium. RNAcentral describes it as "partial 16S ribosomal RNA". It matches the Rfam family "Bacterial small subunit ribosomal RNA", at positions 28 to 523 of the family's 1533-position model. The record is from RNAcentral.
GAUGAACGCUAGCUACAGGCUUAACACAUGCAAGUCGAGGGGAAACGAUAGAGAAAGCUUGCUUUUUCUAGGCGUCGACCGGCGCACGGGUGAGUAACGCGUAUCCAACCUGCCCAUCACUUGGGGAUAACCUUGCGAAAGUAAGACUAAUACCCAAUGAUAUCUCUAGAAGACAUCUGAAGGAGAUUAAAGAAUUAUCGGUGAUGGGUGGGGAUGCGUCUGAUUAGCUUGUUGGCGGGGUAACGGCCCACCAAGGCGACGAUCAGUAGGGGUUCUGAGAGGAAGGUCCCCCACAUUGGAACUGAGACACGGUCCAAACUCCUACGGGAGGCAGCAGUGAGGAAUAUUGGUCAAUGGACGAGAGUCUGAACCAGCCAAGUAGCGUGCAGGAUGACGGCCCUAUGGGUUGUAAACUGCUUUUAUAAGGGAAUAAAGUGAGUCUCGUGAGACUUUUUGCAUGUACCUUAUGAAUAAGGACCGGCUAAUUCCGUGCCAGCCGCCGCGGUAA